GGCUGGUCUGAGUGCAGUGGUGUUUACAACUAAUUGAUCACAACCAGUUACAGAUUUCCUUGUUCCUUCUCCACUCCCACUGCUUCACUUGACUAGCCUUAA
This 102-nucleotide Y RNA is filed under the name Saimiri boliviensis boliviensis (Bolivian squirrel monkey). Its description in RNAcentral is "Y RNA (ENSSBOG00000004916.1)". It matches the Rfam family "Y RNA". Rfam says of the family: Y RNAs are components of the Ro ribonucleoprotein particle (Ro RNP), in association with Ro60 and La proteins. The Y RNAs and Ro60 and La proteins are well conserved, but the function of the Ro RNP is not known. Lineage: Eukaryota; Metazoa; Chordata; Mammalia; Primates; Cebidae. The record is from Rfam by way of RNAcentral.